RNAcentral lists this ribosomal RNA (406 nucleotides) under uncultured bacterium. RNAcentral describes it as "partial 16S ribosomal RNA". It matches the Rfam family "Bacterial small subunit ribosomal RNA", at positions 30 to 526 of the family's 1533-position model. The record is from RNAcentral.
AUUGAACGCUGGCGGCAGGCCUAACACAUGCAAGUCGAACGGGUGGCGGACGGGUGAGUGAUGUCUGGGAAACUGCGCGAUGGAGGGGUGUAACUACGGGAAACGGUAGCUAAUAGCGCAUACCAUGCGCUGUGCCCAGGUGGGAUUAGCUAGUCGGUGGGGUAACGGCUCACCUAGGCGACGAUCCCUAGCUGGCCUGAGAGGAUGACCAGCCACACUGGGACUGAGACACGGCCCAGACUCCUACGGGAGGCAGCAGUGGGGAAUAUUGCACAAUGGGCGCAAGCCUGAUGCAGCCACGCCGCGUGUAUGAAGAAGGUCUUCGGGUUGUAAAGCACUUUCAGUGGGGAGGCGUUACUCACAGAAGAAGCACCGGCUAACUCCGUGCCAGCAGCCGCGGUAAUUC